UAUAUUUUCACUUUUAUAUUUUCACUUUUAUAUUUUCACUUCUAUAUUUUCACUUUUAUAUUUUCACUUUUAUAUUUUCACUUUUAUAUUUUCACUUUUAUAUUUUCACUUUUAUAUUUUCAUGUUUUUGCUCAGCUUUUUACUUUUAUACAACAAUGCAUAUGUCAAACAUGAUUACAAGCUAUAGAGACAUUGUAUUUUACUGCGCGAAAUGCGUGUUACAUACUGAACGCUUGUUUAAAUAAAGAGCAUUAUCGCGCGCAUAUCAAUAACUGAGAUACGCAUACCGAAUUCGCCAUGCAUGCAGACAGCUUUAGACUCGGUUUAGACGGCGAACUUUCUCAUGCGCCGAACCCGUAAUACAACGAUUUAUAAGUACGACAGAUCUAGAAGAGCUGCAUCUAAACUCUAAAUCAGUUGCCGAGCUUGUGCGGUUGUGCCGUAAGAAAUGAAGCGCUUGAAAAUGUCGCCGUCUGAACCGAGCCUUAUUACGGGAGUAAUGCUAAUGUCUGCAUGGCGAAUUCGGUAUGCGUAUCUUAGUAAUGCGCGCGAUAAUGCUCUUUAAACAAGCGUUCUUCAGUAUGUAAUACGCAUUUCGCGCAGUCAAAAUACAACGUCUCCAUAGCUUGUAAUCAUGUUUUGACAUAUGUAUUGUUGGUAAUAUCACGACAAUUUGUAUUACUAAAUGCCUAUAAUCCCACGUUUAAGAACAUUAUAAUUACACAAAAAUAUAAAAUACAAAAUAUAAAAUACAAAAUAUAAAUUGUUGGUAAUAUCACGACAAUUUGUAUUACUAAAUGCCUAUAAUCCCACGUUUAAGAACAUUAUAAUUACACAAAAAUAUAAAAUACAAAAUAUAAAAUACAAAAUAUAAAACACAAAAAUACAAAAUAUAAAACACAAAAA
This is a non-coding RNA of Paramuricea clavata, 906 nucleotides long. NCBI's taxonomy places the organism in Eukaryota, Metazoa, Cnidaria, Anthozoa, Malacalcyonacea, Plexauridae. The record is from the annotation of a GenBank genome assembly.